RNAcentral lists this ribosomal RNA (446 nucleotides) under uncultured bacterium. Its description in RNAcentral is "bacterial SSU rRNA". It matches the Rfam family "Bacterial small subunit ribosomal RNA", at positions 71 to 507 of the family's 1533-position model. The record is from RNAcentral.
AAAGGAGCUUUGCUCUUUGAAGUUAGUGGCGACGGGUGAGUAACACGUGGGUAACCUGCCUCACAGCUGGGAUACAUCAGAAAUCGAUGCUAAUACCGAAUGUGCUGAACAUCAUAAGAUGUUCAAGUGAAAGACGGUUUCGGCUGUCACUGUGAGAUGGACCCGCGCUGGAUUAGCUAGUUGGUAAGGUAAUGGCUUACCAAGGCGACGAUCCAUAGCCGACUUGAGAGGGUGAUCGGCCACAUUGGGACUGAGACACGGCCCAAACUCCUACGGGAGACAGCAGUAGGGAAUCUUCGGCAAUGGACGAAAGUCUGACCGAGCAACGCCGCGUGAGCGAAGAAGGCCUUCGGGUCGUAAAGCUCUGUUGUUAGAGAAGAACAUGGGUGAGAGUAACUGUUCACCCCUUGACGGUAUCUAACCAGAAAGCCACGGCUAACUACGUG